GGCGGCGUGAACCGGGAUCCACCACCGGACUGUCGAUCCGGAGGUUACGGGUUCGAGCCCCGCCGGCCUCG
RNAcentral lists this transfer RNA (71 nucleotides) under Planctomyces sp. Its description in RNAcentral is "tRNA-Ser". The record is from RNAcentral. Lineage: Bacteria; Pseudomonadati; Planctomycetota; Planctomycetia; Planctomycetales; Planctomycetaceae.